This is a transfer RNA of Daphnia magna, 120 nucleotides long. It matches the Rfam family "tRNA". Rfam says of the family: Transfer RNA (tRNA) molecules are approximately 80 nucleotides in length. Their secondary structure includes four short double-helical elements and three loops (D, anti-codon, and T loops). The record is from Rfam. Lineage: Eukaryota; Metazoa; Arthropoda; Branchiopoda; Diplostraca; Daphniidae.
UCUCCAGUGGCGUAGUUGGUUAGCGCAUGGUACUUAUACGACAGUAACUACUUGUGCUGAGUUUAAUUGUAACGAUUGCAAGUAAUGCCGAGGUCGCGAGUUCGAACCUCGCCUGGAGAA